RNAcentral lists this ribosomal RNA (253 nucleotides) under uncultured bacterium. RNAcentral's name for it is "partial 16S ribosomal RNA". It matches the Rfam family "Bacterial small subunit ribosomal RNA", at positions 524 to 776 of the family's 1533-position model. The record is from RNAcentral.
UACGUAGGUGGCAAGCGUUGUCCGGAAUUAUUGGGCGUAAAGCGCGCGCAGGCGGUCUCUUAAGUCUGAUGUGAAAUCCCACGGCUCAACCGUGGAGGGUCAUUGGAAACUGGGGGACUUGAGUGCAGAAGAGGAAAGUGGAAUUCCAUGUGUAGCGGUGAAAUGCGUAGAGAUGUGGAGGAACACCAGUGGCGAAGGCGACUUUCUUGUCUGUAACUGACGCUGAGGCUCGAAAGCGUGGGGAGGAAACAAG